GUGAAUCAUCGAAUCUUUGAACGCACAUUGCGCCCGCCAGCAUUCUGGCGGGCAUGCCUGUUCGAGCGUCAUUUCAACCCUCGACCUCCCCCCGGGGAGGUCGGCGUUGGGGACCGGCAGCACACCGCCGGCCCUGAAAUGGAGUGGCGGCCCGUCCGCGGCGACCUCUGCGUAGUAGUCCAACCUCGCACCGGAACCCCGACGCGGCCACGCCGUAAAACGCCCAACUCUGAACGUUGACCUCGGAUCAGGUAGGAGUACCCGCUGAACUUAAGCAUAUCAAUAAGCGGAGGA
This 294-nucleotide unclassified non-coding RNA is filed under the name Beauveria sp. RNAcentral's name for it is "partial contains 5.8S ribosomal RNA, internal transcribed spacer 2, and large subunit ribosomal RNA". The stretch from base 1 to 71 matches the Rfam family "5.8S ribosomal RNA", at positions 84 to 154 of the family's 154-position model. Lineage: Eukaryota; Fungi; Ascomycota; Sordariomycetes; Hypocreales; Cordycipitaceae. The record is from RNAcentral.